CGGGGUUUCUAUCUGCUACUUAGAAUACUCAGCAUGUACCCUUGCAGCAAUAGUUAUCUUCACGUUCGGUGCCUCUAGGACGCGCGCGCGCACACACACGUGCGCAUGCGCACAGACACACACACAGAGCCAUGCACCCUAGGCAAGCGCUGUCCUUGCUCCGGGGCUCGCGGGAGAGUUCCCUCGGGGCCUUUGGAUCCCUCACACUGUGCUGCGGUCCCUUGGUGCAUACAGGGUUCUACAAAGCAGCCUCAAAAACACAAAAGAAAAAAGACACUUCCUGGCUGUAAGUUCACUGAAGACUGGAAUUGUGGACCAAACAAGAAAUUUUGGAUGGUUGGUGAAAGGAAAUUCUGCUAAGGUCCUGAUUAAUACCUAAACUGGAUGUGUUCUCAGUUAAACACAACCUAUAAGUAAGCAUUUGAGGCUUCAGCGGGGACUUCUACAGAGCAGAACUGGGGCUCUCGUCCUGCCCAGGGUCUGCAGAGGAA
This is a non-coding RNA of Peromyscus maniculatus bairdii (prairie deer mouse), 491 nucleotides long. The record is from RefSeq and is a predicted model, not a curated record. Lineage: Eukaryota; Metazoa; Chordata; Mammalia; Rodentia; Cricetidae.